This 91-nucleotide ribosomal RNA is filed under the name Mediterraneibacter gnavus. The record is from RNAcentral. Lineage: Bacteria; Bacillati; Bacillota; Clostridia; Lachnospirales; Lachnospiraceae.
ACCCGUACCCAUCCCGAACACGAUGGUUAAGACCUGAGCGGCCGAUGGUACUGCACUGGAGACGGUGUGGGAGAGUAGGUGGCCGCCAAAA